GAACGGGCAGCCCCCAGCCUGAGACAAAGCCCCCGGGAGCCGCGAGGCGGCUGCCAAGGGAGGAGUCAAAGCUCGCUGCCGGGUCUUGUGUCCCCAAGCACCCAGAAAAUAACGUGAGGCAUCGCCUGGGGUGAAGGGGGAGUGGGCUCACCACAGCAGGCGCUUUGAAACAGAAAUUGCUGCCAGAAACCGUUGCAGUUUCUGGAUCUUCAAGAUCAGCCAUGCUGUUGUGACAAGGACCACUUAAAAUGGAAAACAGUGAAAAAAAUAUGCAGCAAAGCAGUCAAACAGCAUUUCUGGCCUUGCAGGAUGAAAUCAGAUUUCCUAUGCUCAUCGUCCCUUUGCAGAUGGAAUGGAGAGAAGGUGCCACGAGGGACUCCGAGAUGCUGUGCCAUCGCUGUUUACCAUUACAAAUACAAACGACUUUGCUUUCUUUUCUCUUGCAGCUGAGAAACAGUGCUGUUUUGUUGGCCUGUUAUAACCUGAACAAGUUUGCUAAGUCUGCAAGGCCAAGAAGGGAGUCCCAGACAUUUGUCCUUUUGACCGCUUGAGGUUCAAUUAACAGUGCCUUCUCCUGGAUACACCCACCUCAGGUGCUGUUUUCAUGCUGCAUGCUGUAACAUGGGUGCAGUGCACAAACCACUGUCUGGGAACUCAGGGCUUACUAGUGAACUUCCAGUAUUUCACCAUUUUCACAA
Molecule: long non-coding RNA, 698 nt
Organism: Oxyura jamaicensis (ruddy duck)
Lineage: Eukaryota; Metazoa; Chordata; Aves; Anseriformes; Anatidae
Exons: 3
Source: RefSeq, a predicted model, not a curated record